This 447-nucleotide ribosomal RNA is filed under the name Escherichia coli. RNAcentral's name for it is "bacterial SSU rRNA". It matches the Rfam family "Bacterial small subunit ribosomal RNA", at positions 1 to 449 of the family's 1533-position model. The record is from RNAcentral. Lineage: Bacteria; Pseudomonadati; Pseudomonadota; Gammaproteobacteria; Enterobacterales; Enterobacteriaceae.
GAAGAGUUUGAUCAUGGCUCAGAUUGAACGCUGGCGGCAGGCCUAACACAUGCAAGUCGAACGGUAACAGGAAGAAGCUUGCUUCUUUGCUGACGAGUGGCGGACGGGUGAGUAAUGUCUGGGAAACUGCCUGAUGGAGGGGGAUAACUACUGGAAACGGUAGCUAAUACCGCAUAACGUCGCAAGACCAAAGAGGGGGACCUUCGGGCCUCUUGCCAUCGGAUGUGCCCAGAUGGGAUUAGCUAGUAGGUGGGGUAACGGCUCACCUAGGCGACGAUCCCUAGCUGGUCUGAGAGGAUGACCAGCCACACUGGAACUGAGACACGGUCCAGACUCCUACGGGAGGCAGCAGUGGGGAAUAUUGCACAAUGGGCGCAAGCCUGAUGCAGCCAUGCCGCGUGUAUGAAGAAGGCCUUCGGGUUGUAAAGUACUUUCAGCGGGGAGGAA